GGUGGCUCAGUGGUAGAGCAUUUGUCUUGCAUGCAUGAGGCCUUGGGUUCGAUUCCUCAGCACCA
Molecule: transfer RNA, 65 nt
Filed under: Dipodomys ordii (Ord's kangaroo rat)
Lineage: Eukaryota; Metazoa; Chordata; Mammalia; Rodentia; Heteromyidae
Rfam family: tRNA
About the family: Transfer RNA (tRNA) molecules are approximately 80 nucleotides in length. Their secondary structure includes four short double-helical elements and three loops (D, anti-codon, and T loops).
Source: Rfam by way of RNAcentral